RNAcentral lists this ribosomal RNA (425 nucleotides) under uncultured bacterium. RNAcentral describes it as "partial 16S ribosomal RNA". It matches the Rfam family "Bacterial small subunit ribosomal RNA", at positions 354 to 796 of the family's 1533-position model. The record is from RNAcentral.
GUGGGGAAUAUUGGACAAUGGGCGCAAGCCUGAUCCAGCCAUGCCGCGUGAGUGAUGAAGGCCUUAGGGUUGUAAAGCUCUUUCACCGAUGAAGAUAAUGACGGUAGUCGGAGAAGAAGCCCCGGCUAACUUCGUGCCAGCAGCCGCGGUAAUACGAAGGGGGCUAGCGUUGUUCGGAAUUACUGGGCGUAAAGCGCACGUAGGCGGAUAUUUAAGUCAGGGGUGAAAUCCCAGAGCUCAACUCUGGAACUGCCUUUGAUACUGGGUAUCUCGAGUAUGGAAGAGGUGAGUGGAAUUCCGAGUGUAGAGGUGAAAUUCGUAGAUAUUCGGAGGAACACCAGUGGCGAAGGCGGCUCACUGGUCCAUUACUGACGCUGAGGUACGAAAGCGUGGGGAGCAAACGGGAUUAGAAACCCUUGUAGUCC